GUUAAGCGACUAAGCGUACACGGUGGAUGCCCUGGCAGUCAGAGGCGAUGAAGGACGUGCUAAUCUGCGAUAAGCGUCGGUGAGGUGAUAUGAACCGUUAUAACCGGCGAUUUCCGAAUGGGGAAACCCAGUGUGUUUCGACACACUAUCAUUAACUGAAUCCAUAGGUUAAUGAGGCGAACCGGGGGAACUGAAACAUCUAAGUACCCCGAGGAAAAGAAAUCAACCGAGAUUCCCCCAGUAGCGGCGAGCGAACGGGGAGGAGCCCAGAGCCUGAAUCAGUGUGUGUGUUAGUGGAAGCGUCUGGAAAGGCGUGCGAUACAGGGUGACAGCCCCGUACACAAAAAUGCACAU
This 354-nucleotide ribosomal RNA is filed under the name Escherichia coli. Its description in RNAcentral is "partial 23S ribosomal RNA". It matches the Rfam family "Bacterial large subunit ribosomal RNA", at positions 1 to 392 of the family's 2925-position model. Lineage: Bacteria; Pseudomonadati; Pseudomonadota; Gammaproteobacteria; Enterobacterales; Enterobacteriaceae. The record is from RNAcentral.